UUUGUGGUAUUUACAGGUUCGGUAAACAAGGGUCUUCCUUUUGGGUGGAGCAGCGGAGGGAGUCAUUACCGAGUUUACACUCCCAAACCCGAAUGUGAACCAUACCUAGACGUUGCUUCGGCGGUACCGCCCCGGCGCCCUCGGGCCCGGAACCAGGCGCCCGCCGGGGGACCAACCAAACCCUUUCAGUGAAUCCCGGGCGACCCCCGGCGGCAUUAUUUGAGUACAGCGAAAUAAAAAACGCAUCAAGACUUUCAACAACGGAUCUCUUGGUUCUGGCAUCGAUGAAGAACGCAGCGAAAUGCGAUAAGUAAUGUGAAUUGCAGAAUUCAGUGAAUCAUCGAAUCUUUGAACGCACAUUGCGCCCGCCAGCAUUCUGGCGGGCAUGCCUGCCCGAGCGUCAUUUCAACCCUCGCACGCCCCUCUGGGGGCGGCGGUGUUGGGGACCGGCCGCCCAGCGGCCGCCCCCGAAAUGCAGUGGCGGUCCCGCCGGCGCCUCCCCCGCGUAGUAGCACACACCUCGCGGACCGGGAGCGACGACGGGCCCAACGCCGUAAAACCCCCCCAACUGAAGGCCUCCGGGCCGAAGAGUUUGACCUCGGAUCAGGUAGGCAUACCCGCUGAACUAAAGCAUAUCAAUAAG
Molecule: ribosomal RNA, 643 nt
Filed under: uncultured Monocillium
Lineage: Eukaryota; Fungi; Ascomycota
Description: eukaryotic LSU rRNA
Rfam family: 5.8S ribosomal RNA (bases 250-403)
Source: RNAcentral